AGGUUUUGCUUUGGCAAGCCUUAAUAAAAGUAAGUUUCUAAGAAAUAUUUCCAUUGAAUAAAGUAUGGGCAAUACAAUUGUAAGACUACACAAAUUAUAAAAAGAUGUCUAUACCAAAAUUUUUUUCUCUAGUGUCUAAAUUCUCCAUCCAUUCUAAAAUAUAUUAAUUCAAAAUUAUUGUUGGGGUAGUUUAUACACAACAAGCAAUAGCAAUGGGAAAUUAUGCUUGAUGGGCACACAGGCAAAGAAAACUUUAUAUAAAUUAUACAUAUAUAUGCAUCUCUACAUUCAUAACAUUAUUUAUUACAUUCUCCACUGUAAUAAUAAUUGGCAGACAUGGCUGUUUUAUAAGGAUACAUCAGCUGAUAUCAGAGAGAAAACACCAGCUUCUUAGAAUUUCAGAGUUUGUUCAGAUUAUAAUCCAUGCAGUGGCCUUGGAAAGGACUUAGGUUCUUUAUAUCCUGUGCCUCCACCAAUAGUAACUUCUACAGUUGCUACUGAAGUAUAAGUUCGCACAUGGGAAAAAUUUUGCGGUCUGGACCUAGAGCAGACUCAAAUAUACUCCUGUCUUCAGAGCUCAGCCACAUGGCCAUACCUUGCUCAGGUGAAUCUGGGUAAGAUAAUCUCUCUGUGUCCGUCAUAAGAGCCACAACCACUACAUGUGUUAUUCAGAUAACACAUGUAGGAUAACUUCAGUUGUAUGUACAAACUCUGAGCCAGGCACUGUGGAGAGCACAUCUACAACCAAUACACAUUAUCUGCCCUCUAAAUUCUUAGUAGCUAUGGAACAGAACUUUUCAUAAGUCAGUGCUAAUGCAAGGCCAGAUUUAUUAGCUUAUACAGUAGAGGGAUAAAGACUCUCCUACAAGAAAGAGCUUUUUGCAAGGGGCAGUAUUUGAGCAGAGGUUGAAGCAUAAGCAGGAACUCAUCAUCAGCAGAGAUGGAGGUAAAAGCAUGAAAACCGGAAACUCUAAAAUGACCUGAGAUGAGAUUCUAUGAUAGGGCCAGAGAUAAAGAUGUCUAAAAGAUAUUCGUGGACUAUCACAUGCCAAGCCUUAAGCACACUAUUUAUAGCUCAGGAGUCAUUUCAAAAUCUGGAGCAUGUGCUUGAGAAAGAAAGCAGUGUUCGGAACAAGUAGAAUGGAAAGAAAUUAGGAAUGGGAGUAGUGUGGAGCAGCUUGAACUAAUGCAGUGGGAAUGGAAACGAGAGAGCAGGCAAAACAUUUGAGAAAGUCGAUUUGAAAAGGCAGAUUGUUUGUGUUGAUCUUCCUGAGUUUUACUCGGAUAAUUUUCCAAAUAGAAUUCCAAGCAUUCUAUUCAAAUGGUUAUUGAUUAUUAAAAUGGCACUGAAAUGAGAUAGC
Callithrix jacchus (white-tufted-ear marmoset) is the source of this 1361-nucleotide non-coding RNA. The record is from RefSeq and is a predicted model, not a curated record. Lineage: Eukaryota; Metazoa; Chordata; Mammalia; Primates; Cebidae.